RNAcentral lists this ribosomal RNA (542 nucleotides) under uncultured methanogenic archaeon. Its description in RNAcentral is "bacterial SSU rRNA". It matches the Rfam family "Archaeal small subunit ribosomal RNA", at positions 331 to 875 of the family's 1478-position model. The record is from RNAcentral. Lineage: Archaea; Methanobacteriati; Methanobacteriota.
AGCAGCAGGCGCGUAAAACUUUACAAUGUCGGGAAACCGUGAUAAGGGAACUCCGAGUGUCCGUAAAUGCGGACUGUCCGUAUGUUUAAAAAGCAUGCGAAGAGAGGGCCGGGCAAGACCGGUGCCAGCCGCCGCGGUAAUACCGGCGGCUCGAGUGGUGGCCACUAUUACUGGGCUUAAAGCGUUCGUAGCUGGGUUGUUUAGUCUCUUGGGAAAUCUACCGGCUUAACCGAUAGGCGUCCAAGGGAUACUGGCAAUCUAGGGACCGGGAGAGGUGAGGGGUACUUCAGGGGUAGGAGUGAAAUCCUGUAAUCCUUGGGGGACCACCUGUGGCGUAGGCGCCUCACCAGAACGGCUCCGACAGUGAGGGACGAAAGCUGGGGGAGCAAACCGGAUUAGAUACCCGGGUAGUCCCAGCCGUAAACGAUGCGCGUUAGGUGUAUCGAUGACCACGAGUCAUCGAGGUGCCGAAGGGAAACCGUGAAACGCGCCGCCUGGGAAGUACGGUCGCAAGGCUGAAACUUAAAGGAAUUGGCGGGGGA